RNAcentral lists this ribosomal RNA (367 nucleotides) under uncultured soil bacterium. RNAcentral describes it as "bacterial SSU rRNA". It matches the Rfam family "Bacterial small subunit ribosomal RNA", at positions 26 to 389 of the family's 1533-position model. The record is from RNAcentral.
AGAGUGAACGCUGGCGGUAGGCCUAACACAUGCAAGUCGAACGGCAGCACAGGAGAGCUUGCUCUCUGGGUGGCGAGUGGCGGACGGGUGAGGAAUACAUCGGAAUCUACCUUUUCGUGGGGGAUAACGUAGGGAAACUUACGCUAAUACCGCAAUAAGACCUUCGGGUGAAAGCCGGGGACCUUCGGGCCUGGCGCGGAUAGAUGAGCCGAUGUCGGAUUAGCUUGUUGGCGGGUAAAAGCCCACCAAGGCGACGAUCCGUAGCUGGCUGAGAGGAUGAUCAGCCACACGUGGAACUGAGACACGGUCAGACUCCGUACGGGAGGCCAGCAGGUGGGAAUAGUUGGACAAGUGGGACGACGAAGCC